GGCCUACGGGAGGCAGCAGUGGGGAAUAUUGCACAAUGGGCGCAAGCCUGAUGCAGCUAUGCCGCGUGUGUGAAGAAGGCCUUCGGGUUGUAAAGCACUUUCAGUCAGGAGGAAAGGUUAGUAGUUAAUACCUGCUAGCUGUGACGUUACUGACAGAAGAAGCACCGGCUAACUCCGUGCCAGCAGCCGCGGUAAU
RNAcentral lists this ribosomal RNA (196 nucleotides) under uncultured Pseudoalteromonas sp. Its description in RNAcentral is "partial 16S ribosomal RNA". It matches the Rfam family "Bacterial small subunit ribosomal RNA", at positions 335 to 524 of the family's 1533-position model. The record is from RNAcentral. Lineage: Bacteria; Pseudomonadati; Pseudomonadota; Gammaproteobacteria; Alteromonadales; Pseudoalteromonadaceae.